This is a long non-coding RNA of Poeciliopsis prolifica (blackstripe livebearer), 238 nucleotides long. RefSeq lists it as uncharacterized. The transcript is spliced from 3 exons. Lineage: Eukaryota; Metazoa; Chordata; Actinopteri; Cyprinodontiformes; Poeciliidae. The record is from RefSeq and is a predicted model, not a curated record.
GUGAAUUGCUCGUGAAAGAUUUCACAUCAACUUUGAAACCAGGAGAAUUCCAAGCCUUUUCCAAGCAGUGCUUCCAAGUCUUUCCGUCGAAAUGCCCCGAGGAAAAUCUCACCGCCGUUCGCUUGCUGCGAAGAAGCGCAUGGAGGCAGGUCGGACUGAGCGUCUAGAGACAUCAACGUCUUCCAGCGACUUUGUUCCACGGCGUGGUACCGGCUGGCGCCAUGCUGUGAGACCGUGG